Molecule: ribosomal RNA, 447 nt
Filed under: uncultured bacterium
Lineage: Bacteria
Description: bacterial SSU rRNA
Rfam family: Bacterial small subunit ribosomal RNA
Source: RNAcentral
UGGGGAAUAUUGGACAAUGGGCGCAAGCCUGAUCCAGCCAUGCCGCGUGAGUGAAGAAGGCCUUCGGGUUGUAAAGCUCUUUUACCAGGGACGAUAAUGACGGUACCUGGAGAAUAAGCCCCGGCAAACUUCGUGCCAGCAGCCGCGGUAAUACGAAGGGGGCUAGCGUUGUUCGGAAUUACUGGGCGUAAAGCGCACGUAGGCGGAUUGUUAAGUCAGAGGUGACAUCCCGGAGCUCAACUUCGGAACUGCCUUUGAUACUGGCAAUCUAGAGUCCGGAAGAGGUUAGUGGAAUUCCCAGUGUAGAGGUGAAAUUCGUAGAUAUUGGGAAGAACACCAGUGGCGAAGGCGGCUAACUGGUCCGGUACUGACGCUGAGGUGCGAAAGCGUGGGGAGCAAACAGGAUUAGAUACCCUUGUAGUCCCUGAGCGGGCUGGCAAGGCGCAU